Long non-coding RNA from Stegostoma tigrinum, 688 nucleotides. RefSeq lists it as uncharacterized. The record is from RefSeq and is a predicted model, not a curated record. The transcript has 3 exons. Lineage: Eukaryota; Metazoa; Chordata; Chondrichthyes; Orectolobiformes; Stegostomatidae.
GUCAGAGGGCUUGCACCUCAGCAGCAGUGGACACUGAGCCUGCCAGACGAAGAACAAAAUGGCUCCUUGAUGAAGUGCCCUUGGAAAUGAGAUGUUACCCAAUUGAAAAUGCUCCAGGACCAGAUGAGACGCAUCAAUGGAUGCUGAAAGAAACCGGAGUGGACAUCACAGAAGCACCAGCAAUAGUUUUUCAAUCUUCCCUUGAUUCAGAGGCUCUCUCAUCAGCAGUAAGGACUGACCACGCAUUGCCUCUGAUUACAGUCAACUGGAAUUAUGGUGAAGGCAGGUUCAAUUGAGAUAUACAAGGGCCCAUCAGAUGAUUAUCUGAACAGAAACAAUGUGCAAGAGUAUCAUGAAAAACAGGAGAUUGAUAUUAAGUCAUAAUGUUUAUUUUGAGAGCUGAUGUUGAUACUGUGGGCCAAACAGCUACCUCCUGUACAGUAAUACUUCUGUGAUGGAUGGUGUCGUCUCUAUGUCCAGGCUCACAAUAUUGGUCACCUAAAUUCCAUAGAGGCUGGAGUGAAGUGAACUACAAGCUGCUGCAAAUAAACUACAGUAUGUGGAAGCCAACGUUGCAUCAUCAAUAAACAGCAAUUUGUGGACACUGACUUUACAGCUUGCAACAAGGGUCUGAUGUACAGAACUGUGCCUAUGCUUGGAGAAAGAACAAAUGACACCCAGGAUUUCA